Triticum aestivum (bread wheat) is the source of this 2739-nucleotide long non-coding RNA. RefSeq lists it as uncharacterized. The record is from RefSeq and is a predicted model, not a curated record. NCBI's taxonomy places the organism in Eukaryota, Viridiplantae, Streptophyta, Magnoliopsida, Poales, Poaceae. The transcript has 2 exons.
UUUAUCUUCAGUUGUGAUGUGAAUAUUGACGCUGAUCUACGAACCAUUGAGAUGCAUUAGCCAUGGUAGCUGUGAUGUCCCAUUACAUCCAACAGAGUCAGGCGUAACGGAAGCCGUUACUUCAGAGUUGCAUCAGGAUCACUUAAGGAAAACAGUAUCAUGUACAAGACGCAGCAGCUGCCAUGAGUAGGCAAGCUUUUAUUACAUAGACACUUCAUGUGUCGACUAAGCCUAAGUGACCAUGACGAUAGAUCGUCACCCAUUUCUAGUGCGAGCCUUCUAGACCAACCAUGGAGGGCAUCUACUCUUCAUAGACUUGAUUUCCAACAUCCUCAUAAUCAUACUCCACUUCAGAAUAACCACAGUCGUCAAGAUCACCAGACUCAUCAUAAGUACCAUUCUCUAGUGCCUCAGAGUUCUCAUAACUCCCUUGUUCUGAAAAAAAAACAUAAGUGCAGCUGAUUACGUAUAAAAUACGUAAUCCGCAAGUCGCAGGGAAAAGUCGAUGUAUGAGUUUUUUUAAAGAGGAAAAACUUUAUCGGCCAUGGCUACCACCACCGAGCCAUUAGCUCAAAAUACUUUGUAGGUAAAAAAAAUUAUUUUCCCUUAACCUAUUAUGUUGAAAAUUAAUUUUAUUUAUAAAAUCUACUAGCGACAGAGCGAUGUGGGAUCUUACAUCCUGUGUUAGAGGAAAACCCACACGACGCACUUCCAACCCCGAAAGCUGGGAGUGAUAUCACAUUUAUUCUGAUCAGAGGUGUACUGCUUUGCCCAUAGCAUCACUAGGUCCAAGUCGUUCAUGCGCUACUCGUGCGCACGACUAGACCAAGGAACCAGAACCUUUAACCAGCCCGUAGACUACCUCUGCUUUUCCACCUUGCCUUACUAUAGGCCCGCGGGUCUAGACCCCUGAACGGCGGUCCCACCCUAGGGUGACUGUACCUACCCGGGUACAACCACCUUCUCACUCAUGCAGAGGUAGCUACUUGGCAUGGGUAGUCGGUUCAGCCCGUCCCAUUCUAGGUCUAUGGUCAGUAUGGUUUGUGCCGCUUUUGACGUAAGCGCUAGUUGGUUGUGUCCUAAUGUAAUACCCUAUGUAGAGGAGUCUGCCAUCCAAGCCAACCCUAAACGGAUUGCCUUCACCAACAUGAGCUCCCCUAUCCACCAAAUUUUUAUUUAUAAUGUAACCCUGCCCGAGUCACGACUACUUAAUAUAGAUACUUCACCUGAUCUGGUCCAAUUGCCAAAUCAGUGGAUCCACCUGAUCCAAAUUUCAUUUUAUUUAUGAAAAAUAUUUAUUUUUAGUUUUUAUGCAAAAUUUUGAAAAUGACCCAUAGCCCGGAAAACAUUUAUCAAGACAUGAUCAAGGAGAUGACGACUUGCCGGGUAGCGCUCCGACCAACUCGGAACCACCAGAUGUGGGUCCUAUGCCUGAUAAUUAUUUCACAAAGAAGUUUAUAUUUUUCCCUAAUCAAGAUCCAAGCAUCAAGCAACACUUCCAUACGGUGCAAUCCAUUUUAAUUAAAGAGGUAAUGAUACAUGCUAGUGUGUAAUUAGAAGCAAAAUGCAUACAGCACAUCAAGAAGUACUCCCUCCGUUCCAAAAUAAUUGUCUUUCUAGUCAUCUCAAAUGGACUACAACAUACGGAUGUAUGUAGACAUGUUUUAGAGUGUAGAUUCACUUAUUUUGCUUAGUAUGUAGUCACUUGUUGAAAUCUCUAGAAAGACAAUUAUUUCGGAAACGGAGGGAGCAGUACGCACGUGCACAUCACAAAGAGGAAGCAAGCAAGCUCAAAAGGAAAAAACGUGUUUAGCUGGUCGAACCCAACCCCGGCAGAAAUAUCAUUUCUUUUUUCUCCAACUAGUCAUCUUCCCCAGCUCUCUACCUCUCUCUCUCUCACUGUCACUGGUAUGCUCAGCCACGAACAGAACCAACUCCAUCUCUCUCUCCCUAACUACAGAGCAGGUCGCCGCCGGCUCGAUCUGCCACUUCCGGACAUCUCCGGCGACACCGUGGACACCCACAGAAUCCCCUCGACUCCCUCUACCAUAUCCCCCCAUUUAUUUGAUCCGCCGCCGCCAAAAUCGCCGCCACCCUCAAACCCCAGCGUCGUCUGCAUCGGGUCCGAUGGGUUCACCACGGGCCGCAGUAGCAAUGGCAUAUCCCUGCCUACAACCUCCUCCAGCAGAGCUGCACGCACGAGGCAUGCAACUACGGCGUCGGGAGCGAGCAUCUUAACCGGCGCGGCUCCGGCAACAUGGCCGCUACCGGCGCCUGGCUCGCCUUUGUCUACUGCUACUAGUUAACUAGAGUCCAAAAGAUCAGGUGUUCAUGUUCUAAGCAAAGGUGAAGAUGGAUCAAGCAAACAAAGCUGCAAAAGCAAGGCACUUGAAUAGUACCUGAUGGCAACUCAGCAUCCGACCAAAAGAGUGGAUGGGGAUGGUGGGGAGAGCUUGGUUCUCUCUUGUGCGUGUUGUGUGCAGUAGAGGAAGUCAAAGGUGAAAGGAGGAGGCUGCUAUUUAUAGUAGUGUAGGGUGCUAGGUCGGUUUGGUAAAAGAGAGAUGUGGCUGACAUGCAUGGUUGCAUGAGCAUGCAAGCCUCCACAUGUAAUCAUGUGAGUUGUACAACGGACAAGUGUAUAGUGCAUGGUUCGACACGAGAUGGCAUAUAAUUUGUGUGUAAGGAAUGAGACAAGGGCCUAAUUAUAAAUCUGCAAACAAUAAAGGAGUUGGAGAAGAA